UUCGAAGCAACGCGAAGAACCUUACCAGGUCUUGACAUCCAGUGCAAACCUAAGAGAUUAGGUGUUCCCUUCGGGGACGCUGAGACAGGUGGUGCAUGGCUGUCGUCAGCUCGUGUCGUGAGAUGUUGGGUUAAGUCCCGCAACGAGCGCAACCCUUGUCAUUAGUUGCCAUCAUUAAGUUGGGCACUCUAAUGAGACUGCCGGUGACAAACCGGAGGAAGGUGGGGAUGACGUCAAGUCAUCAUGCCCCUUAUGACCUGGGCUACACACGUGCUACAAUGGACGGUACAACGAGAAGCGAACCUGCGAAGGCAAGCGGAUCUCUUAAAGCCGUUCUCAGUUCGGACUGUAGGCUGCAACUCGCCUACACGAAGCUGGAAUCGCUAGUAAUCGCGGAUCAGCACGCCGCGGUGAAUACGUUCCCGGGCCUUGUACACACCGCCCGUCACACCAUGAGAGUCUGUAACACCCAAAGCCGGUGGGAUAACCUUUAUAGGAGUCAGCCGUCUAAGGUAGGACAGAUGAUUAGGGUGAAGUCGUAACAAGGUAGCCGU
RNAcentral lists this ribosomal RNA (554 nucleotides) under uncultured bacterium. RNAcentral describes it as "bacterial SSU rRNA". It matches the Rfam family "Bacterial small subunit ribosomal RNA", at positions 950 to 1503 of the family's 1533-position model. The record is from RNAcentral.